RNAcentral lists this ribosomal RNA (450 nucleotides) under uncultured bacterium. RNAcentral's name for it is "bacterial SSU rRNA". It matches the Rfam family "Bacterial small subunit ribosomal RNA", at positions 29 to 524 of the family's 1533-position model. The record is from RNAcentral.
AACGAACGCUGGCGGCAUGCCUAACACAUGCAAGUCGAACGAAGUCUUCGGACUUAGUGGCGCACGGGUGCGUAACGCGUGGGAAUCUGCCCUUGGGUGCGGAAUAACUUCUCGAAAGGGAUGCUAAUACCGCAUAAUGUCGUAAGACCAAAGAUUUAUCGCCCAAGGAUGAGCCCGCGUAAGAUUAGCUAGUUGGUAGGGUAAAAGCCUACCAAGGCGACGAUCUUUAGCUGGUCUGAGAGGAUGAUCAGCCACACUGGGACUGAGACACGGCCCAGACUCCUACGGGAGGCAGCAGUGGGGAAUAUUGGACAAUGGGCGAAAGCCUGAUCCAGCAAUGCCGCGUGAGUGAUGAAGGCCCUAGGGUUGUAAAGCUCUUUUACCAGGGAUGAUAAUGACAGUACCUGGAGAAUAAGCUCCGGCUAACUCCGUGCCAGCAGCCGCGGUAAU